GGAGUUAGCCGGUGCUUCUUCUGCGAGUAACGUCACAGAUGUAAGGUAUUAACUUACACCCUUUCCUCCUCGCUGAAAGUGCUUUACAACCCGAAGGCCUUCUUCACACACGCGGCAUGGCUGCAUCAGGGUUUCCCCCAUUGUGCAAUAUUCCCCACUGCUGCCUCCCGUAGGAGUCUGGGCCGUGUCUCAGUCCCAGUGUGGCUGAUCAUCCUCUCAGACCAGCUAGGGAUCGUCGCCUAGGUGAGCCUUUACCUCACCUACUAGCUAAUCCCACCUGGGCUUAUCCAUCAGCGCAAGGCCCGAAGGUCCCCUGCUUUCCCCCGUAGGGCGUAUGCGGUAUUAGCAGUCGUUUCCAACUGUUAUCCCCCACAAAUGGGCAAAUUCCCAGGCAUUACUCACCCGUCCGCCGCUCGUCAUCUUCAAAAGCAAGCUUUUGAAAUGUUACCGCUCGACUUGCAUGUGUUAGGCCUGCCGCCAGCGUUCAAUACUGAGCCAGAAUACAAACUACUGA
This 514-nucleotide ribosomal RNA is filed under the name uncultured bacterium. Its description in RNAcentral is "partial 16S ribosomal RNA". The record is from RNAcentral.